AUACGGAGGGUCCAAGCGUUAUCCGGAAUCAUUGGGUUUAAAGGGUCCGCAGGCGGUCAAUUAAGUCAGAGGUGAAAGCCCAUCGCUCAACGAUGGAACUGCCUUUGAUACUGGUUGACUUGAGUUAUACGGAAGUAGAUAGAAUAAGUAGUGUAGCGGUGAAAUGCAUAGAUAUUACUUAGAAUACCGAUUGCGAAGGCAGUCUACUACGUAUAUACUGACGCUGAGGGACGAAAGCGUGGGGAGCGAACAGGAGUAGAUACCCUAGUAGUCC
Molecule: ribosomal RNA, 274 nt
Filed under: uncultured bacterium
Lineage: Bacteria
Description: partial 16S ribosomal RNA
Rfam family: Bacterial small subunit ribosomal RNA
Source: RNAcentral